Molecule: unclassified non-coding RNA, 353 nt
Filed under: Hevea brasiliensis (rubber tree)
Lineage: Eukaryota; Viridiplantae; Streptophyta; Magnoliopsida; Malpighiales; Euphorbiaceae
Source: RNAcentral
AUUUUUUUUUUUUUUUUUUCUAUAACAUUGUUAAGGAAAGAUGCUCAACAAAGAGGGGUGUGGGAUUGGGGAGAAGUUUAGGAUAAAAACAAGAGAAGGCAUGGUAGACUGAUGUAUUUACCAAACAUAUAUAAACCAAGUGAAAGAUUAUUAAAAGAAAAAUUGUGCAACACUAAUAUAAGAAAGAUAAAAUACAGAUUCAACAUAAAAUUAGAUGAUAUAACUAAUUUCAUAAAGAAAAUAGUAAUCCAUGUUCCCAUGCUAAGCCCACUAGCAGAAGAACCAAAACAAAAAGGCAUUACCUUGGCACAGCUACUGCAAGGAGCAUCACAUUGAACCCAUGUUAAAUCACU